This 68-nucleotide transfer RNA is filed under the name Marmota monax (woodchuck). Its description in RNAcentral is "tRNA.Ala". The stretch from base 3 to 63 matches the Rfam family "tRNA", at positions 6 to 65 of the family's 71-position model. From Rfam's summary of the family: Transfer RNA (tRNA) molecules are approximately 80 nucleotides in length. Their secondary structure includes four short double-helical elements and three loops (D, anti-codon, and T loops). The record is from RNAcentral. Lineage: Eukaryota; Metazoa; Chordata; Mammalia; Rodentia; Sciuridae.
GCUGGGGCUCAGUGGUAGAGCACUUGCCUAGCAUGUGUGAGGCCCUGGGUUCAAUUCUCAGCACUGCA